Molecule: transfer RNA, 66 nt
Filed under: Taeniogonalos taihorina
Lineage: Eukaryota; Metazoa; Arthropoda; Insecta; Hymenoptera; Trigonalidae
Also listed under: 1 other name
Description: tRNA-Met
Source: RNAcentral
UUAUAAAUAAGCUAAAUUAAGCUUUUAAGUUCAUACCUUAAAUAUAAAUUAAUAAUUUUUUAUAAA